GAUGAACGCUAGCGGCAGGCCUAAUACAUGCAAGUCGAACGAUCGUUUUUGGUUUACUAAAAACGGAGUGGCGCACGGGUGCGUAACACGUAUGCAACCUACCUUUAUCUGGGGAAUAGCCUUUCGAAAGGAAGAUUAAUACCGCAUAACAUUAUUGAAUGGCAUCAUUUAAUAAUCAAAGUUCAGGCGGAUAAAGAUGGGCAUGCGUAACAUUAGCUAGUUGGUAAGGUAAUGGCUUACCAAGGCUACGAUGUUUAGGGGGUCUGAGAGGAUGAUCCCCCACACUGGUACUGAGACACGGACCAGACUCCUACGGGAGGCAGCAGUAGGGAAUAUUGGGCAAUGGAGGAAACUCUGACCCAGCCAUGCCGCGUGAAGGACGAAGGCCCUAUGGGUUGUAAACUUCUUUUAUAUAGGAAGAAAAAGUUCUACGUGUAGAGCUCUGACAUUACUAUACGAAUAAGGAUCGGCUAACUCCG
This 479-nucleotide ribosomal RNA is filed under the name uncultured Bacteroidota bacterium. Its description in RNAcentral is "bacterial SSU rRNA". It matches the Rfam family "Bacterial small subunit ribosomal RNA", at positions 28 to 505 of the family's 1533-position model. The record is from RNAcentral. Lineage: Bacteria; Pseudomonadati; Bacteroidota.